GAUGAACGCUGGCGGCGUGCCUAAUACAUGCAAGUCGAGCGAACGGACGCGAAGCUUGCUUCUCUGAUGUUAGCGGCGGACGGGUGAGUAACACGUGGAUAACCUACCUAUAAGACUGGGAUAACUUCGGGACACCGGCGCUAAUCCCGGAUAAUCUUUUGAACCGCAUGGUUCAAAAAUGAAAGACGGUCUUGCUGUCACUUAUAGCUGGAUCCGCGCUGCAUUAGCUAGUUGGUAAGGUAACGGCUUACCAAGGCCACGAUGCAUAGCCGACCUGAGAGGGUGAUCGGCCACACGGGAACGGAGACACGGUCCAGACUCCUACGGGAGGCAGCAGUAGGGAAUCUUCCGCAAUGGGCGAAAGCCUGACGGAGCAACGCCGCGUGAGUGAUGAAGGUCUUCGGAUCGUAAAACUCUGUUAUGAGGGAAGAACAUAUGUGUAAGGAACUGUGCACAUCGUGACGGUACCUAAUCAGAAAGCCACGGCUAACUACGUG
RNAcentral lists this ribosomal RNA (497 nucleotides) under uncultured bacterium. RNAcentral describes it as "partial 16S ribosomal RNA". It matches the Rfam family "Bacterial small subunit ribosomal RNA", at positions 28 to 507 of the family's 1533-position model. The record is from RNAcentral.